RNAcentral lists this ribosomal RNA (1296 nucleotides) under metagenome. RNAcentral describes it as "SSU rRNA". It matches the Rfam family "Eukaryotic small subunit ribosomal RNA", at positions 494 to 1783 of the family's 1831-position model. The record is from RNAcentral.
UAUUGGGCUUGGUAAUUGGAAUGAGGGAGAGUUAAACGGACCAUCGAGUAUCCAUUGGAGGGCAAGUCUGGUGCCAGCAGCUGCGGUAAUACCAGCUCCAAUAGCGUAUAUUAAAGUUGUUGCAGUUAAAAAGCUCGUAGUUGGACUUGUGUGCGCUGUCCGCGGGUGGCCUGCGCCCAAAAGGGCGUUUCGGUUCGGCCCCGGUGGCGCCUUGAAAUCUGCAGCUGGGGGGACGUUGGCCUUAACUGGUCGGCGACCGCACGCCGGCUGCUCGGUUACUGUGAGAAAAUUAGAGUGUUCAAGGCAGGCAUUGGGUGCAAUUGAAUACAUUAGCAUGGAAUAAUAAAAUAUGGCUCCUGCCGUAUUUUGUUGGUUUUGACUGGUGGGAGUAAUGAUUGAUAGGGACGGUUGGGGGUGCUAGUAUUGAGCGGCCAGAGGUGAAAUUCAUGGAUUCGCUCAAGACUAACUUAUGCGAAAGCAUUCACCAAGGACGUCCUCUUUAAUCAAGAACGAAAGUUGGGGGAUCGAAGACGAUCAGAUACCGUCGUAGUCUCAACCAUAAACUAUGUCGACUUGGGAUCGGCGGUAGUUUUUUCAUUAAGACACUGUCGGGACCACGGGAGAAAUCAAAGUGUCUGGACUCUGGGGGAAGUAUGGUCGCAAGGCUGAAACUUGAAGGAAUUGACGGAAGGGCACCACCAGGAGUGGAGCCCGCGGCUUAAUUUGACCCAACACGGGGAAACUUACCAGGUCCAGAGAUGUAGAGGAUUGACAGAUUGAAGCUCUUUCUUGAUCACUUCGGUGGUGGUGCAUGGCCGUUCUUAGUUGGUGGAGUGAUUUGUCUGGUUAAUUCCGUUAACGAACGAGACCUCAGCCUGCUAGUGUAGUCGGCUGGAUUGCCUUUGGCGAUCCGCGAUUUCGACUUCUUAGAGGGACAAUCGACGCGCAGUCGAUGGAAGUUUGAGGCAAUAACAGGUCUGUGGUGCCCUUAGAUGUUCUGGGCCGCACGCGCGCUACACUGCUGGGCUCAGCGAGUUUUACUUGGCCGAGAGGCCCGGUUAAUCUUGUGAAAUCCCAGCGUGCUUGGGCUCGCCUCCUGCAACUGGAGGCGCCAACGAGGAAUUCCUAGUAGACGCAGGUCAUCAACCUGCAUCGAUUACGUCCCUGCCCUUUGUACACACCGCCCGUCGUUCCAUAAGAGUGAGGCAUCCGGUGAAUUCUCGGGAGAGCCUGGGCGUGGCCAGCAAUGGUCUGCUCGGGUUUGAACUUGCAUAAACUUGGUGCCUAUGAUUAGGG